GCCGAGGUGGCGAAAUUGGUAGCCGCACUAGCUUUAGGAGCUAGCGAUCGCAAGAUCUUGGGAGUUCGAGUCUCCCCCUCGGCA
This 84-nucleotide transfer RNA is filed under the name bacterium. Its description in RNAcentral is "tRNA-Leu". It matches the Rfam family "tRNA". Rfam says of the family: Transfer RNA (tRNA) molecules are approximately 80 nucleotides in length. Their secondary structure includes four short double-helical elements and three loops (D, anti-codon, and T loops). The record is from RNAcentral.